This 453-nucleotide ribosomal RNA is filed under the name Vermamoeba vermiformis. RNAcentral's name for it is "SSU rRNA". It matches the Rfam family "Eukaryotic small subunit ribosomal RNA", at positions 1214 to 1669 of the family's 1831-position model. The record is from RNAcentral. Lineage: Eukaryota; Tubulinea; Echinamoebida; Vermamoebidae.
UUUACGAGGUCAGGACACUGUGAGGAUUGACAGAUUGAAAGCUCUUUCUUGAUUCAGUGGGUGGUGGUGCAUGGCCGUUCUUAGUUGGUGGAGUGAUUUGUCUGGUUAAUUCCGUUAACGAACGAGACCUUAACCUGCUAAAUAGUCACGCGAACCGGUCCGCAAGGGCUCAAAGUUCGCGGCUCGACUUCUUAGAGGGACUAUUCGCACCCGCCAGCGAAUGGAAGUUUGAGGCAAUAACAGGUCUGUGAUGCCCUUAGAUGUUCUCGGCCGCACGCGCGUUACACUGACGGAGUCAACGAGCGUUUUUCCUUGCCCGAUAGGGUUGGGUAACCUCCUGAAACUCCGUCGUGAUGGGGAUAGAUCAUUGCAAUUAUUGAUCUUGAACGAGGAAUUCCUAGUAGGCGCGAGUCAUCAACUCGCGCUUGAUUACUCCCCGCCCUUCACACACCC